CCUACGGGAGGCUGCAGUGGGGGAUAUUGGACAAUGGGGGGAACCCUGAUCCAGCGACGCCGCGUGAGUGAAGAAGUAUUUCGGUAUGUCAAGCUCUUUCAGCAGGGACGAAAGAAAUGACGGUACCUGACCAAGAAGCCCCGGCUAACUACGUGCCAGCAGCCGCGGUAAUACGUAGGGGGCAAGCGUUAUCCGGAAUUACUGGGUGGAAAGGGAGCGUAGACGGUUAAGUACGUCUGGAGUGAAAGGCCGGGGCUCAACCCCGGGAGUGCUCUGGAAACUAUUUAACGUGAGUGCAGGAGAGGUAAGCGGAAUUCCGAGUGUAGCGGUGAAAUGCGUAGAUAUUAGGAGGAACACCAGUGGCGAAGGCGGCUUACUGGACUGUAACUGACGUUGAGGCUCGAAAGCGUGGGGAGCAAACAGGAUUAGAUACCCUUGUAGUC
RNAcentral lists this ribosomal RNA (443 nucleotides) under uncultured bacterium. Its description in RNAcentral is "partial 16S ribosomal RNA". It matches the Rfam family "Bacterial small subunit ribosomal RNA", at positions 338 to 795 of the family's 1533-position model. The record is from RNAcentral.